Molecule: transfer RNA, 66 nt
Filed under: Armadillidium vulgare (common pillbug)
Lineage: Eukaryota; Metazoa; Arthropoda; Malacostraca; Isopoda; Armadillidiidae
Description: tRNA-Ser
Source: RNAcentral
UUUUAUCUAAGAAUAGAAGGGUAUCUAAUCCUUGUUUAUUUAUUAGAUUUUAGAGGAUUAAAACCA